GUUGAGGUCGAUCCCGAUGGGGCUUUUUCUGUAGACUUACAUCGGUGAAAACACUUCAUAGAAUAAAUACGUGCUUUCCUUUAUUCACAGAACUGUGUGUUAAAUCUGUGGGAAGGCAUUAAAAGACAGAA
This is a small nucleolar RNA of Rhinolophus ferrumequinum (greater horseshoe bat), 131 nucleotides long. The record is from Ensembl. Lineage: Eukaryota; Metazoa; Chordata; Mammalia; Chiroptera; Rhinolophidae.